This 253-nucleotide ribosomal RNA is filed under the name uncultured bacterium. RNAcentral's name for it is "partial 16S ribosomal RNA". It matches the Rfam family "Bacterial small subunit ribosomal RNA", at positions 524 to 776 of the family's 1533-position model. The record is from RNAcentral.
UACGAAGGGGACUAGCGUUGUUCGGAAUUACUGGGCGUAAAGCGCACGUAGGCGGAUUUGUAAGUCAGGGGUGAAAUCCCGGGGCUCAACCUCGGAACUGCCUUUGAUACUGCAAAUCUCGAGUCCGAUAGAGGUGGGUGGAAUUCCUAGUGUAGAGGUGAAAUUCGUAGAUAUUAGGAAGAACACCGGUGGCGAAGGCGGCCCACUGGAUCGGUACUGACGCUGAGGUGCGCAAGCGUGGGGAGCAAACAGG